ACGACGCUGGCGGCGUGCUUAACACAUGCAAGUCGAACGGGCUGAAGUGAUAGCUUGCUAUUAUGGACGCUAGUGGCAAACGGGUGAGUAACGCGUAGGCAACCUGCCCUUCAGAUGGGGACAACACUUCGAAAGAGGUGCUAAUACCGAAUGACGUAUCCAUUCCGCAUGGAGAGGAUACCAAAGGCCGGGCAACCGGUCACUGAAGGAUGGGCCUGCGUCUGAUUAGCUGGUUGGUGGGGUAACGGCCCACCAAGGCGACGAUCAGUAGCCGGUCUGAGAGGAUGAACGGCCACAUUGGGACUGAGACACGGCCCAAACUCCUACGGGAGGCAGCAGUGGGGAAUCUUCCGCAAUGGGCGCAAGCCUGACGGAGCAACGCCGCGUGAGUGAAGAAGGUUUUCGGAUCGUAAAGCUCUGUUGAGAGGGACGAGAGGCAAGGCUAGGAAAUGAGCUUUGUAGGACGGUACCUUUCGAGGAAGCCACGGCUAACUACGUG
RNAcentral lists this ribosomal RNA (499 nucleotides) under uncultured bacterium. Its description in RNAcentral is "bacterial SSU rRNA". It matches the Rfam family "Bacterial small subunit ribosomal RNA", at positions 33 to 507 of the family's 1533-position model. The record is from RNAcentral.